UCUUUUACCAAAUCAGAACGAGGUUCUUCUCCAGAACCAACAGGGGGCGCUCUCCCAGUGUUAAAUGUGGGGAAAUGUUCCUCAUGUUGGGCAGUUAGAUCAGUGUGUGUGUGUGUGUGUGUGUGUAGAGUGGUGAGUUUAGAGCUGGAGGUUUUUGUACAGCCACUGAAUGAGUUUGUAUCACUGUGGUGGACUUUCGGUGGAGGAACUAAACUGGAAGUUGGACGUGAGACUCCUCCCACUCUUACAGUCCUGCCCCCGUCCAGUGCAGAGCUGGAGCAGGGGGAGGUCACACUGCUGUGUGUGGGCAGCGGGGGCUUCCCCUCAGACUGGAAGCUGAGCUGGAAGGUGGGCGGCAGCAGCAGGAGCUCGGGGGUCCGUCACAGCCCCGCUCUUCUGAAGAAGGACCACGGCCUCUACAGCUGGAGCAGCACCCUGACCCUCCAGCAGCAGCAGUGGAUGAAGAACACAGUGACCUGUGAGGCCACCAAGAACUCCCAGUCUGUAGCCAGUAAACCAGUGAGCGCGGACCAGUGCUCUAACCUCUGAACACACACACACACACACACACACACAUACUGAUAUAGACACACACA
This is a non-coding RNA of Astyanax mexicanus (Mexican tetra), 596 nucleotides long. The record is from the annotation of a RefSeq genome assembly. NCBI's taxonomy places the organism in Eukaryota, Metazoa, Chordata, Actinopteri, Characiformes, Acestrorhamphidae.